AAUAAAUAUAGAGAGUUUAGAUGGCCAUAGAAAAUUGACUUACAAUACAGUGGAAAAUAAAAAUGCAAAAUAAAGUGUAGAGAAAGAAGGGACAAACAUGAAACAAAAGAGAAUACCAAGUCCAAAACAUGAAUUGAGUGUAGAAAAAAUGGAAAACCCUAAGUUGGGUUGUUGUCCAGGUACAAAACAUGAAAACCCUAAAUUUGUUGUUCAAAAAAGCAAAAAAAAAAAAAAGAACUAAAGAGAGGAGGGAUGUGGUCACAUCACUAAACUCAUUAAACCCUAGUUUCUCUUUGGUUUAUGACAUGGCCUAAAAAAGUAUAACCAUAAAAAAACAAAAAGUAAAGCAAAAAUGAAAACUAAACAAAAGAUGUGAUUGACAUAACAUAAAUGACAUGACACUCCUUUCUUCAACCCAAUAAUAAAUGUCCUAGC
Molecule: long non-coding RNA, 435 nt
Filed under: Vigna radiata
Lineage: Eukaryota; Viridiplantae; Streptophyta; Magnoliopsida; Fabales; Fabaceae
Description: long non-coding RNA (VRAD_LNC006611)
Source: RNAcentral